GGACAACAACACAAAAACAUAUCAAAAGAAAACUGGAAUGAUUCAAGAAAAAAACGUGAGACUGUUCUGGAGUGAUCAGCAAAGAGCCCAGAUCUGAAUCACAUCCAUAACCUACGGUCGGAUCUGAUAACAGCAGUUGGCGGAGGGAACCCCUCAAACAAGAAUUAGAGGCAAUUUGCUGCUCAAGAGUGGGCCAAAUUGCUACUAGAAGGUGCAGCAAGCUCAUUGAUGGCUACAAGAAGCAUUUGUUGGCAGGCUAUGCAACCGGGGUGCCAAUAAUUUUGUAAUGCCAUAAAUUGUGGUCAACAGAUUAAUUCCAUCCCUUCCCCUGCUUUGAUACUCACGUUUGUAGCCAAAACAUGACAGUUAGGAGUUAAAUCAGGAUAUUCUCUCAUAAAAUUCCUUGGCCAGUCGGGCGGGUUACAGUGCCGAGAGAAAUUACGAUUUAAUGAAGCGUCCCUUGGCAGCCGUUUGGGCAGAAAAACGAUCAAUCCGCCCAAGCGUUGAAGGAAGAUACUGUGCAUGUCAGAGGUCUUUUCCUUCUUCAACUUAGUGGCCUUCCUCUGUCUUCCUUGGGCUGACAGUCUUCAAGGAUGUUUGUCUUGGUUCGAUGGGCUUGUUACUGCUUAGACUUGUGCUACUUCCGGAAAGCUCCUACCCUAUGUCUGCUUAAAUUUCUUCUCUUUUUUAUUACAGACAUCGGAAUCUUGAAAUAAGUGACCUGUGUAUUCCACUGGGGAUUUUUAAAUACUCUUUAGUCACACUCUAUGGACAUCUACUAUCAGAGGCCCUGCCAGGUUCCUAGAGGAAGAAGAGCUACGAUUAACUCUCACACACGUUCAUUGCCAGAAGUCACAAGUGCUGACAGGGGAAAUAUUACAACCAAUUCACUGACAGAAAUUGGCAACGCAGGUGAUUAGGCUGGCAGGUUAGGAUGGUGUCAGUCUCAGUUGAGCUGAUGCAAAAGUUGGGGUUUGAACAAAUGCAUUUUGGCCACAAUGUUCUCAGCACCCAGACGCUCUUGACAAUUAACAUGCAGGAUGGUCUUUUAAAUAAGAAGGGUUAGUGGUGACUUCCAGGUUAUUCAUCUUCAUUCCAGGUAGCAAAUGCUGCAGCAGUGCCUUUACCACAAGGCAUGGAACCUUAUAUUCUGCAUUAAGUAUUUAGUUUUGGAACUGCAUAAUGUUAAUAUACGGUGGCCCCGAAAGGAAAGGUAUUAAUUUAUAAUA
Molecule: long non-coding RNA, 1229 nt
Filed under: Oncorhynchus mykiss (rainbow trout)
Lineage: Eukaryota; Metazoa; Chordata; Actinopteri; Salmoniformes; Salmonidae
Description: lncRNA (ENSOMYG00000035952.2)
Source: RNAcentral